ACACAUGCAAGUCGAGGGGCAGCAUGGUCUUAGCUUGCUAAGGCCGAUGGCGACCGGCGCACGGGUGAGUAACACGUAUCCAACCUGCCGUCUACUCUUGGACAGCCUUCUGAAAGGAAGAUUAAUACAAGAUGGCAUCAUGAGUCCGCAUGUUCACAUGAUUAAAGGUAUUCCGGUAGACGAUGGGGAUGCGUUCCAUUAGAUAGUAGGCGGGGUAACGGCCCACCUAGUCUUCGAUGGAUAGGGGUUCUGAGAGGAAGGUCCCCCACAUUGGAACUGAGACACGGUCCAAACUCCUACGGGAGGCAGCAGUGAGGAAUAUUGGUCAAUGGGCGAGAGCCUGAACCAGCCAAGUAGCGUGAAGGAUGACUGCCCUAUGGGUUGUAAACUUCUUUUAUAAAGGAAUAAAGUCGGGUAUGGAUACCCGUUUGCAUGUACUUUAUGAAUAAGGAUCGGCUAACUCCGUGCCAGCAGCCGCGGUAAUACGGAGGAUCCGAGCGUUAUCCGGAUUUAUUGGGUUUAAAGGGAGCGUAGAUGGAUGUUUAAGUCAGUUGUGAAAGUUUGCGGCUCAACCGUAAAAUUGCAGUUGAUACUGGAUAUCUUGAGUGCAGUUGAGGCAGGCGGAAUUCGUGGUGUGGCGGUGAAAUGCUUAGAUAUCACGAAGAACUCCGAUUGCGAAGGCAGCCUGCUAAGCUGCAACUGACAUUGAGGCUCGAAAGUGUGGGUAUCAAACAGGAUUAGAUACCCUGGUAGUCCACACGGUAAACGAUGAAUACUCGCUGUUUGCGAUAUACUGCAAGCGGCCAAGCGAAAGCGUUAAGUAUUCCACCUGGGGAGUACGCCGGCAACGGUGAAACUCAAAGGAAUUGACGGGG
This 875-nucleotide ribosomal RNA is filed under the name uncultured bacterium. RNAcentral's name for it is "bacterial SSU rRNA". It matches the Rfam family "Bacterial small subunit ribosomal RNA", at positions 51 to 918 of the family's 1533-position model. The record is from RNAcentral.